This is a long non-coding RNA of Oncorhynchus keta (chum salmon), 657 nucleotides long. RefSeq lists it as uncharacterized. The transcript has 5 exons. NCBI's taxonomy places the organism in Eukaryota, Metazoa, Chordata, Actinopteri, Salmoniformes, Salmonidae. The record is from RefSeq and is a predicted model, not a curated record.
CCCUCCAGUAGGUUACAAUGGCUCCUUAUCUCACCCCUCCAGUAGGUUACAAUGGCUCCUCUCUCACCCCUCCAGUAGGUUGCAAUGGCUCCUCUCUCACCCUUCCAGUAGGUUACAAUGGCUCCUCUCUCACCCCUCCAGUAGGGUACAAUGGCUCCUCUCUCACCCCUCCAGUAGGUUACAAUGGCUCCUUAUCUCACCCCUCCAGUAGGUUACAAUGGCUCCUCUCUCACCCCUCCAGUAGGUUACAAUGGCUCCUCUCUCACCCCUCCAGUAGGUUACAAUGGCUCCUUAUCUCACCCCUCCAGUAGGUUACAAUGGCUCCUUAUCUCACCCCUCCAGUAGGUUACAAUGGCUCCUCUCUCACCCCUCCAGUAGGGUACAAUGGCUCCUCUCUCACCCCUCCAGUAGGUUACAAUGGCUCCUUAUCUCACCCCUCCAGUAGGUUACAAUGGCUCCUUAUCUCACCCCUCCAGUAGGUUACAAUGGCUCCUUAUCUCACCCCUCCAGUAGGUUACAAUGGCUCCUUAUCUCACCCCUCCAGUAGGUUACAAUGGCUCCUUAUCUCACCCCUCCAGUAGGUUACAAUGGCUCCUUAUCUCAUCCCUCCAGUAGGUUACAAUGGCUCCUUAUCUCACCCCUCCAGUAGGUUACAAU